This 253-nucleotide ribosomal RNA is filed under the name uncultured bacterium. Its description in RNAcentral is "partial 16S ribosomal RNA". It matches the Rfam family "Bacterial small subunit ribosomal RNA", at positions 524 to 776 of the family's 1533-position model. The record is from RNAcentral.
UACAGAGGUCCCAAGCGUUGUUCGGAUUCACUGGGCGUAAAGGGUGCGCAGGCGGUCGGGUGUGUCAGAUGUGAAAUCCCGAGGCUCAACCUCGGAACUGCGUCUGAAACUACUCGACUAGAGUACUGGAGAGGGUAACGGAAUUCACGGUGUAGCAGUGAAAUGCGUAGAUAUCGUGAGGAACACCAGAGGCGAAGGCGGUUACCUGGACAGUUACUGACGCUCAGGCACGAAAGCAUGGGGAGCAAAAGGG